This 497-nucleotide ribosomal RNA is filed under the name uncultured bacterium. RNAcentral describes it as "partial 16S ribosomal RNA". It matches the Rfam family "Bacterial small subunit ribosomal RNA", at positions 28 to 507 of the family's 1533-position model. The record is from RNAcentral.
GAUGAACGCUGGCGGCGUGCCUAAUACAUGCAAGUCGAGCGAACAGAUGAGGAGCUUGCUCCUCUGACGUUAGCGGCGGACGGGUGAGUAACACGUGGAUAACCUACCUAUAAGACUGGGAUAACUUCGGGAAACCGGAGCUAAUACCGGAUAAUAUAUUGAACCGCAUGGUUCAAUAGUGAAAGACGGUUUUGCUGUCACUUAUAGAUGGAUCCGCGCCGCAUUAGCUAGUUGGUAAGGUAACGGCUUACCAAGGCAACGAUGCGUAGCCGACCUGAGAGGGGGAUCGGCCACACGGGAACUGAGACACGGUCCAGACUCCUACGGGAGGCAGCAGUAGGGAAUCUUCCGCAAUGGGCGAAAGCCUGACGGAGCAACGCCGCGUGAGUGAUGAAGGUCUUCGGAUCGGAAAACUCUGUUAUUAGGGAAGAACAAAUGUGUAAGUAACUAUGCACGUCUUGACGGUACCUAGUCAGAAAGCCACGGCUAACUACGUG